Non-coding RNA from Armillaria nabsnona, 97 nucleotides. Lineage: Eukaryota; Fungi; Basidiomycota; Agaricomycetes; Agaricales; Physalacriaceae. The record is from the annotation of a GenBank genome assembly.
GCCCUCUUAGCUCAGUGGUAGAGCGUGUCACUCGUAUGUGAAGGAAGAUAUCCCAUGCGUUAUGACAAGGUCAGUCGUUCAAGUCGGCUAGGGGGCA